GACAGGAAGGGCUAGUGUUAUUCAUCGCUAUUGGGUGUAAAGGGUAUGUAGGUUUUUUUAUUAAAUUGGGCAUAAAAAAACUAUAAUUUAUAGAAGAGUGUUCAAAACUGAUAAAAUUGAGUUUGCAUGAGGAAUAUACUAAAUCUAGUGUAAAGGUGAAAUUUGCAGAUAUUAGAAAGAGUGCCAAAAGGUGAAAACAAUAUUCUUAUG
This 210-nucleotide ribosomal RNA is filed under the name uncultured bacterium. RNAcentral describes it as "partial 16S ribosomal RNA". It matches the Rfam family "Bacterial small subunit ribosomal RNA", at positions 524 to 734 of the family's 1533-position model. The record is from RNAcentral.